RNAcentral lists this ribosomal RNA (627 nucleotides) under Glyphiulus impletus. RNAcentral describes it as "SSU rRNA". It matches the Rfam family "Eukaryotic small subunit ribosomal RNA", at positions 6 to 621 of the family's 1831-position model. Lineage: Eukaryota; Metazoa; Arthropoda; Diplopoda; Spirostreptida; Cambalopsidae. The record is from RNAcentral.
GGUUGAUCCUGCCAGUAGUCAUAUGCUUGUCUCAAAGAUUAAGCCAUGCAUGUCUAAGUACGUGCCUUUACAAGGUGAAACCGCGAAUGGCUCAUUAAAUCAGUCAUGGUUUACUAGACCGUUCUAUCCUACUUGGAUAACUGUGGUAAUUCUAGAGCUAAUACAUGCCAAGAGUCUCCUGCCCUUGUGGCUCGAGCGCUUUUAUUAGACCAAAACCAAUCGAGUACUUGUGCUCGUUAGUUUGUGGUGACUCUGGAUAACUUUGAGCAGAUCGCACGGUCUUUGUGCCGGCGACGUAUCUUUCAAAUGUCUGCCUUAUCAACUGUCGAUGGUAGGUUACUUGCCUACCAUGGUUGUAACGGGUGACGGGGAAUCAGGGUUCGAUUCCGGAGAGGGAGCCUGAGAAACGGCUGCCACAUCCAAGGAAGGCAGCAGGCACGCAAAUUACCCACUCCCAGCACGGGGAGGUAGUGACGAAAAAUAACGAUGCGGGACUCUUACGAGGCCCCGUAAUCGGAAUGAGCACACUUUAAAUCCUUUAACAAGGACCUAUUGAAGGGCAAGUCUGGUGCCAGCAGCCGCGGUAAUUCCAGCUUCAAUAGCGUAUAUUAAAGUUGUUUGCGGUUA